This 376-nucleotide ribosomal RNA is filed under the name uncultured bacterium. RNAcentral describes it as "bacterial SSU rRNA". It matches the Rfam family "Bacterial small subunit ribosomal RNA", at positions 521 to 896 of the family's 1533-position model. The record is from RNAcentral.
UAAGACGAACCGUGCGAACGUUGUUCGGAAUCACUGGGCUUAAAGGGCGCGUAGGCGGGCGUGCAGGCCCGCGGUGAAAUCCCCCGGCUCAACCGGGGAAGGGCCGCGGGGACCGCACGUCUGGAGUGGGGUAGGGGCGCGUGGAACUGUGGGUGGAGCGGUGAAAUGCGUUGAUAUCCACAGGAACUCCGGUGGCGAAGGCGGCGCGCUGGACCCUCACUGACGCUGAGGCGCGAAAGCCAGGGGAGCGAACGGGAUUAGAUACCCCGGUAGUCCUGGCCCUAAACGUUGGGGACUGGGUAGCAGGCCGGACAUGGGCUUGCUGCCGGAGCGAAAGUGUUAAGUCCCCCGCCUGGGGAGUAUGGUCGCAAGGCUG